Long non-coding RNA from Nanorana parkeri, 281 nucleotides. RefSeq lists it as uncharacterized. Lineage: Eukaryota; Metazoa; Chordata; Amphibia; Anura; Dicroglossidae. The record is from RefSeq and is a predicted model, not a curated record. The transcript has 3 exons.
GCUGAGAGAGUGUGAAUCGGAAGUGUUUAGUCACAGCAUGGAAUGAAGAUCCGUAUGGGCUUCAUCUGCAAGUAAACUCUCUGCAUCAACUAUGGCAGCACUCGUCAGAUUAGCAACUCUACAGUUACGAAUUGGUGCUUGCAGUGCAAUCUAUCCUGCUACAGCACAGAUUUUGUGGCACAGGACACGUAACAACAGACAUCAGAGCAUCUACACUUUUACUAAGGGGUUUCAAGAUGAAUGCAGACGGAUUCAGCAGAAAGCAACUGCCUUACCACAGA